This 82-nucleotide transfer RNA is filed under the name Apaloderma vittatum (bar-tailed trogon). It matches the Rfam family "tRNA". From Rfam's summary of the family: Transfer RNA (tRNA) molecules are approximately 80 nucleotides in length. Their secondary structure includes four short double-helical elements and three loops (D, anti-codon, and T loops). Further hydrogen bonds mediate the characteristic L-shaped molecular structure. tRNAs have two regions of fundamental functional importance: the anti-codon, which is responsible for specific mRNA codon recognition, and the 3' end, to which the tRNAs corresponding amino acid is attached (by aminoacyl-tRNA synthetases). tRNAs cope with the degeneracy of the genetic code in two manners: having more than one tRNA (with a specific anti-codon) for a particular amino acid; and 'wobble' base-pairing, i.e. permitting non-standard base-pairing at the 3rd anti-codon position. The record is from Rfam by way of RNAcentral. Lineage: Eukaryota; Metazoa; Chordata; Aves; Trogoniformes; Trogonidae.
GGCCGGUUAGCUCAGUGGUUUGAGCGUGGUGCUGGCAAUAAGGAUCAACACCAAGGCCGCGGGUUCAACUCCCGCUCGGUUC